Molecule: long non-coding RNA, 2943 nt
Organism: Oncorhynchus tshawytscha (Chinook salmon)
Lineage: Eukaryota; Metazoa; Chordata; Actinopteri; Salmoniformes; Salmonidae
Source: Ensembl
UAAUAUAUCAUUUUUAUAACAGGCAUUUACACAAUGUACACUCAUAAGCAUGAUCAUAAAUACAACAUACAUACGGUGUAUAAAAAGAACACAAGAAGACAACAACAACAACAACAACAGCAGCAGAGAACUGCCUUCCAGUGAUAGGUACAUUCACUUUAGCAGGACACCAUUGGCUAAUGUUAACCUUAUAGGGUAUACAAAUACCGUCUUAGUUUAGCUUGUUGUUGACCAGUAUGAAUAGUUAAUUUUCUCCCACACUGCUCAAAAACCCACAGUACACCUGUCUCAAACUGAACUUCCGAGUGCCGUUUCUGACAACCAGGGCGGUAUUCAUUAGGGCAUUCAUUAGGGCACACCACAACGUAGAAACGAAAACAAGCAGUUGGUAGUUAAUUCAGGUGGUCCCUGUCUGUUUCAGGAUGUUUUCUUCAGUUUGAUGCCUAAUGCAUAUGACUCCUGUUUGGUUGUGACUGGUUGUGACUGGUUGAGGUGCCCGCUCCCUAAAAUACCACUAUGAUUUGGAAUUUCCGUUGCUCCACCCUAAUAGUAGACCACAAGCAGCAAGUCCCGUUUACCUGUUUCGGACAGAGUGGGAAAUCCGGAUGGUACCGUUUAAGAAGAGACAAGCUUGUGACAAACACAUAGGCAACCACACAUUCCCUAUUCAUUAUUAUGACUAUUCUGCAAUCAAGUCCUAUCCCUUGCCCAUGACAAGACUGCGAUUGUGUUGUUUCAAAUGCGUGCUUGUUGUAAAGCAUGGGAUGGCAAGUACAGUACAGUAACGGCAAGAUAUUAGAAGACUAAUUUAACCCCAGGUUAAUCACUGGUGAGAAGAGACAGACAGACUCUCUAUAAGACACACAGGAUAUUGCACGGUAUAGAGAGUGACAGAGAAACUAUAGAAGUAUUUGUCAGAGUAGCAGAGAUAGUCGUCUGUCUGUUAAAUCCCACUGGACGGUUGAAACUGAUGGCCUUUUCUGUGUGAGGUGUUUAAAUGCACAUUGAGCUCAGAGUAAAUGGAUGGAAAGGUUCACUCAUAUUUGAACCAAUGUAAACACCUAGGAAGGACGAGUCAGAGGUGAAGGACUUGGCUGGCACCAAGGAUGUAUGGGACACAUACAGCAGAUUUCGGAAAGUAUUCAGACCCCUUGACUUUUCCCAUAUUUUGUUACGUUACAGCCUUAUUCUAAAAUGGAUUCAAUUGUCCCCCCCCCCUCAUAAUCUAAAUACAAUGCCUCAUAAUGACAAAGCAAAAACAUGUUUUAAGAAUAUUUUGCAAAUGUAUACAAAAUAAACAUAUUUAAAUAUUCAGACCCUUUACUCAGUACUUUGUUGAAGCACCUUUGGCAGUGAUUACAGCCUCAAGUCUUCUUGGGUAUAACGCAACAUGCUUGGCACACCUGUAUUUGGGGAGUUUCUCCCAUUCUACUCUGCAGAUCCUCUUAAGCUCUGUCAGGUUGGAUGGGGAGUGUUGCUGCACAUGUAUUUUCAGGUCUUUCCAGAGAUGUUCGAUUAGGUUCAAGUCCAGGCUCUAGCUGGGCCACUAAAGGACAUUCAGAGACCUGUCCCGAAGCUACUCCUGCAUUGUCUUGGCUGUGUGCUUAGGGUCGUUGUCCUUUUGGAAGGUGAACCUUCGCCCCAGUCUGAGCUCCUGAGUGCUCUGGAGCAUCAAGGAUCUCUCUGUACUCUGCUCCGUUCAUCUUUCCCUCGAUCCUGACUAGUUUCCCAGUCCUUGCCGCUAAAAAACAUCCCCAAAGGAUGAUGCUGUCACCAGCAUGCUUCACCGUAGGAAUGGUUCAGGUUUCCUCCAGAUGUGACACUUGGUAUUCAGGCCAAAGAGUUCAAUCUUGGUUUCAUAAGAUAUGAAAAUCUUGUUUCUCGUGGUCUGAGAGUCUCUAAGGUACCUUUUGACAAACUCCAAGCGGGCUGUCAUGUGCCUUUUACUGAGGAGUGGCUUCCAUCUGGCCAUUUUACCAUAAAGGCCUGAUUGGUAGAGUGCUGCAGAGAUGGUUGUCCUUCUGGAUUGUUCUCCUAUCUCCACAGAGCAACUCUGGAGCUCUGUCAGAGUGACCGUCGGGUUGUUGGUCACCUCCCUGACCAAGGCCCUUCUACCCCAAUUUCUCCGUUUGUCCGGGCGGCAAGCUUUAAGAAGAGUCUUGGUGGUUCCAAACUUCUUCCAUUUAAGAAUAAUGGAGACCACAGUGUUCUUGGAGACCUUCAAUGCGGCAGACAUUUUUUAGUACCCUUCCCCAGAUCUGUGCCUCGACACAAUCUUGUAUUGGGGCCCUGGGGACAGUUCCUUCGACCUCAUGGCUUGGUUUUUACUCUGACAUGCACUGUCAACUGUGGGACCUUAUAUAGACAGGUGUGUGCCUUUCCAAAUCAUGUCCAAUCAAUUGAAUUUACCACAGGUGGACUCCAAUCAAGUGUUAGAAACAUCUCAAGGAUGAUCAAUGGAAAACAGGAUGCACCUGGUCUUAAUUUCGAGUCUCAUAGCAAAAAGGGUCUGAAUACUUACGUAAAUAAGGUAUUUCUAUAUUAUUAUAAUUUUUUAUUAGCAAACAUGUCUAAAAACCUGUUUUUGUAAUUAUGGGGUUAUUGUGUGUAGAUGGAUGUCAGAGGACUGUGUGUGUGUGGUUGGUUCUCAGUCCUCUGACACAUACGGUUCAUUUGGAAAGUAUUCAGACCCAUUUACUAUUUCCACAAUUUUGUUACGUUACAGCCUUAUUCUAAAAUGGAUUAAAUAAAACAUUUCCCCUCAUCAAUCUACACACAAUAACACACUAAUUACGAAAACCGUUUUUUAGACAUGUACUCUGUGACAUUUUUAGAGACACAUUUGCAUCCUGUAAGCCCACGCACACACUCAUGAAGCAGUUUCACUUACACUUACACUUACACACACACACACACACACACACACACACACACACACACACA